Molecule: ribosomal RNA, 549 nt
Filed under: uncultured bacterium
Lineage: Bacteria
Description: bacterial SSU rRNA
Rfam family: Bacterial small subunit ribosomal RNA
Source: RNAcentral
AUUGAUGGAGGCGAGUCUGACCAGCCAAGUAGCGUGAAGGAUGACUGCCCUAUGGGUUGUAAACUUCUUUUAUAAGGGAAUAAAGUGAGGGACGUGUCCCUUUUUGUAUGUACCUUAUGAAUAAGGAUCGGCUAACUCCGUGCCAGCAGCCGCGGUAAUACGGAGGAUCCAAGCGUUAUCCGGAUUUAUUGGGUUUAAAGGGAGCGUAGGUUGACAUAUAAGUCAGCUGUGAAAGUUUACGGCUCAACCGUGAAAUUGCAGUUGAUACUGUAUGUCUUGAGUGUACAAGAGGUGGGCGGAAUUCGUGGUGUAGCGGUGAAAUGCUUAGAUAUCACGAAGAACUCCAAUUGCGAAGGCAGCUCACUGGGGUACAACUGACACUGAGGCUCGAAAGUGUGGGUAUCAAACAGGAUUAGAUACCCUGGUAGUCCACACAGUAAACGAUGAAUACUCGCUGUUUGCGAUAUACAGUAAGCGGCCAAGCGAAAGCAUUAAGUAUUCCACCUGGGGAGUACGCCGGCAACGGUGAAACUCAAGAAAUUUGACGGG